GAUGAACGCUAGCGGCAGGCCUAACACAUGCGAGUCGAGGGAGAAGCCCUUUCGGGGGCAGAAACCGGCGCACGGGUGCGUAACGCGUAUGCAACCUACCUUUCACAGGGGGAUAGCCCGAAGAAAUUUGGAUUAAUACCCCAUAAUAUUAUUGGAUGGCAUCAUUUGAUAAUUAAAACUGCGGUGGUGAAAGAUGGGCAUGCGUCCUAUUAGCUAGUUGGAGUGGUAACGGCACCCCAAGGCUACGAUAGGUAGGGGUCCUGAGAGGGAGAUCCCCCACACUGGUACUGAGACAGGGACCAGACUCCUACGGGAGGCAGCAGUGAGGAAUAUUGGUCAAGGGUCGGAAGACUGAACCAGCCAUGCCGCGUGCAGGAAGAAUGCCUUAUGGGUUGUAAACUGCUUUUAUAUGGGAAGAAUAAGGCGUACGUGUACGUUGAUGACGGUACCAUAUGAAUAAGCAUCGGCUAACUCCGUG
This 478-nucleotide ribosomal RNA is filed under the name uncultured bacterium. Its description in RNAcentral is "partial 16S ribosomal RNA". It matches the Rfam family "Bacterial small subunit ribosomal RNA", at positions 28 to 507 of the family's 1533-position model. The record is from RNAcentral.